UACGUAGGGUGCGAGCGUUAAUCGGAAUUACUGGGCGUAAAGCGUGCGCAGGCGGUUCGUUGUGUCGGUGGUGAAAGCCCCGGGCUUAACCUGGGAAUGGCCAUGGAAACUGGCGAACUGGAGUGUGGCAGAGGGGGGUGGAAUUCCGCGUGUAGCAGUGAAAUGCGUAGAGAUGCGGAGGAACACCGAUGGCGAAGGCGGUUAGCUGGGCAGUUGCUGACACUGAGGCGCGACAGCGUGGGGAGCAAACAGG
RNAcentral lists this ribosomal RNA (253 nucleotides) under uncultured bacterium. Its description in RNAcentral is "partial 16S ribosomal RNA". It matches the Rfam family "Bacterial small subunit ribosomal RNA", at positions 524 to 776 of the family's 1533-position model. The record is from RNAcentral.